GUUCCGAUAGCUCAGUGGUAGAGCAAUCGACUGCAGCCCACCCUCCAUGGUCGGAAUCGAUAGGUCAGGCGUUCGAACCGCCUUCGGAACU
Molecule: non-coding RNA, 91 nt
Organism: Lasiosphaeria hispida
Lineage: Eukaryota; Fungi; Ascomycota; Sordariomycetes; Sordariales; Lasiosphaeriaceae
Source: the annotation of a GenBank genome assembly